GAGAGAUUUUAUUCUUGUUUAUUUUAUUUAUUUUGAUAUUAUUUUAUAUGUAAAUUUUUGUGUUAAAUUGGGGAUCUUAAUGAUAUUUAUAUAGUUUUUGCAGUAUAUAAUAUUAUAUUUAUGUAGGUAACUUUGAUUUAGUUAUUAUUAUUUAAUAUUGAUUAAAGAUGUGCCAGCAUUCGCGGUUAUACAUUGAAUAUUAAUAAAUAUUUUUAGUUAAAAUGAUUAUUUUGUUAAUUUAUUAUUUGUUUUAUUUUGAUUAUUUUUAGGUGAAAUUUUAAUUAUUUUGUUUUAUAUAAUAUAUUGUUUAUAUAGAAAUCAUGUGAUCUAUAAUUUAUAUAGACUAGGAUUAGAUACCCUAUUAUAUUUGAUGUAAAAUUGAUUUAUUAAACUGGAGUAGUAGUAUAAUUAUUGAAACUUAAAGAAUUUGGCGGUAUUUUAGUCUUUUUAGAGGAAUCUGUUUCGUGAUUGAUAAUCCGCGUUGAAUCUUACUUAUAUUUAUUUAAUUUGUAUAUCGCCGUUUAUUGAAUAUUUUUUUAGGAAAUUUAAAUUAUUCACUAUUUUAUAUGGGAAAAAUAUUUCAGGUCAAGGUGCAGUUUAUAUAUAAGUGUUUAUGGAUUACAAUAUUAUUUUAAUAUAAUGGAUUAAGUAUUGUUAUUUACUUAUGAAGGUGGAUUUAAAAGUAAUUUUAUUGUAGAUUAUUUAAUUGAAUUUGGCUCUAUAAUGUGUACAUAUUGCCCGUCACUCUCAUUAAUAUUUUAAAUGAGAUAAGUCGUAACAUAGUAGAUGUAUCGGAAGGUGUAUCUAGAAUUAUA
Molecule: non-coding RNA, 815 nt
Filed under: Allacta robusta
Lineage: Eukaryota; Metazoa; Arthropoda; Insecta; Blattodea; Pseudophyllodromiidae
Source: RNAcentral